Molecule: non-coding RNA, 930 nt
Organism: Biomphalaria pfeifferi
Lineage: Eukaryota; Metazoa; Mollusca; Gastropoda; Planorbidae
Source: the annotation of a GenBank genome assembly
UUAUUACUACAGGACAUCAACUAAAGCACUGCUCAAGAAAGCUGUUGCAGAGACAUGCUGUAUUCUAGCCAAUAUGUUAAUGAUUAUUUAAGAAUCUCAGGAGCAAUUGUAAAAUAAUUACCGUUCAUGUUUGAAGAGUUCACUGACAAGUAAAGUAAGUCUAUAAGAUAUGGACAUUGAUCAUUUAUUUCCAUUGAAUAAAUAUUGAAAUACACUUCAACAAAGUCACUCCCUGUUUUCUGGUAUUUUAAAUUAAGCAGAUUUCUCUGUCUGAAUAAAUACUUGGACAAGAAAAAUAAAUAGACAAGACAUUAGUUUGUCCUGAUAUAUUUUCAAAACACAAUAUAAUACCAUAGCACAAAGAAAUCAUCAUAAUAAAACAUCAGUCUAUAUGAAUGUUAGAAUAAAAGCAUGUCUAAAGAAAUCCACUUUAUAUAUCUAUCUAUCUAUCUAUAUAUAUAUAUAUAUAUAUAUAUAUCUAUAUCUUUGUAUACAUCUGUAUAGCUUGUAUUAAAACAUCAUUCAAAUAUUUCACAAGGGGAAAUAGGUGGAUCUAUUGCUUCAAAUAAGAAACGACAAAUAAUUGCCAGUUGGUUAAUAAAAAAAUAAAUCUAAGCUUUAAAAAUAAAUGUAAAAGAAAAAUCAAUAAGAGAUCUACUAGGCUCUAUAAUUUAAAUCAAACAUAAUUAAUACUUAUUGCAUUAUACAAAUGGGGAAAUGAUAUUUCCCUUGAGCUGCAGACACACAAAUCCUAUACUAUUUUGUGAUGAUCAUCCAAACAAACCUAAUGGUAAAUCUAUAUUCCAGUUGGCUCUUAGAAAAUAUGGCUGAAUGUUUAAAUUACAAAUAAAACACACAAGAAAAACAUGAAAAGACUUGAAAAGGUGAGUCCAAUGUAUAAAACAACAACUACUGUUUUUCAUUUCUAUU